This 301-nucleotide ribosomal RNA is filed under the name uncultured bacterium. RNAcentral describes it as "partial 16S ribosomal RNA". It matches the Rfam family "Bacterial small subunit ribosomal RNA", at positions 509 to 807 of the family's 1533-position model. The record is from RNAcentral.
CAGUCGCCACGGUAAAACAGAGGGUGCAAGCGUUAAUCGGAUUUACUGGGCGUAAAGGGCGCGUAGGUGGUUAUUUAAGUGAGAUGUGAAAGCCCCGGGCUUAACCUGGGAACUGCAUCUUAUACUGGGUAACUGGAGUGCAGUAGAGGGUAGUGGAAUUUCCGGUGUAGCGGUGAAAUGCGUAGAUAUCGGAAGGAACACCAGUGGCGAAGGCGGCUACCUGGACUGAGACUGACACUGAGGCGCGAGAGCGUGGGGAGCAAACAGGAUUAGAUACCCGCGUAGUCCCUGUCUCUUAUAC